ACAUAGGUGAAAUCAAGGAAAUGCAUGAGCGAAAUUUGAAGAAGGGUGACGCUGCGAAACGUACUUAUCAGGUGCUCCUUGAUUCUGAUUGGAGCUCCAUGUGUGUGAAGGAUGAUGAAGCUCUUUGUUUGGAUUCAACGACCUUUGGAAACAUUGCUAGGUUUAUCAACCAUAGAGAUCAGGGUGAGGUGCUAGCUGAAGCUCUAAAGAUGAUGCUGUGCAAUGAUAGGCACUCACUUGACAUGCAGAAGGCUGCAGCGUUCAUAAAGCGUUUAGCCACAUUCUUGUUAUGCUUUGAGUCUGCAAAGUCCAUGGCUGCCUUGGUCACUUUAAAGCAUCUCCUAUUAAAUGCCGGUUUUUGUUGGAAAAUGAUCCUGGAGGUGGCUCAGUAUCAGGUUCUGUUGCAGUAAGCAAUUUACUGCUUCCAUGCAGAACCCUUAAUUGAUGCAUGAUAUGUUGGAUUUAAAAUGGAGAUGAAGGAAGUAAGGCUGAAAAGAGAAGUGUCUCCUUUCUCCGUGAUGCAAUUUUGGGUGCAUAAGAGAGAUGAACACAUGCUGUCAAGGUCCAGAAGGUUCUAAAAUUCCACCAAUGGAAAAGUCUCAAAAUGCUUUAACUAUUGGUCCAUCAUUACGACUUCAAGGAUUGUUAGUACCGUUCUUCUCUUUCAAACGGCCAUCCCUUGGUCAAGAGAAUCAAGUCAAAGUUCUCAACAAACUUGCUUCAGCUCGAGCUUCAGGAGCAGGUAGUAGCAGCAGAGUCUUGACAGAUUUGGUAGAGGGUCUAGAAGAAGCAGCUGUUGCUGUAGAAUUGAGGUUGAAGAUCAACCAGAGUCAUCCG
This is a long non-coding RNA of Eucalyptus grandis, 837 nucleotides long. RefSeq lists it as uncharacterized. The record is from RefSeq and is a predicted model, not a curated record. NCBI's taxonomy places the organism in Eukaryota, Viridiplantae, Streptophyta, Magnoliopsida, Myrtales, Myrtaceae. The transcript has 5 exons.